CAAUAGCGUAUAUUAAAGUUGUUGCGGUUAAAAGCUCGUAGUUGGAUUUCUGCUGAGGACGACCGGUCCGCCCUCCGGGUGAGCAUCUGGUUCGGCCUUGGCAUCUUCUUGGUGAACGUAUCUGCACUUGACUGUGUGGUGCGGUACCCAGGACUUUUACUUUGAGGAAAUUAGAGUGUUUCAAGCAGGCAUACGCCUUGAAUACAUUAGCAUGGAAUAAUAAGAUAGGACCUCGGUUCUAUUUUGUUGGUUUCUAGAGCUGAGGUAAUGAUUGAUAGGGAUAGUUGGGGGUGGGCUAGUAUUGUACCGGCCCAGAGGUGGAAAUUACUUUGGAUUCGGUUCAAGACUAACUUAUGCGAAAGCAUUCACCAAGGAUGUC
RNAcentral lists this ribosomal RNA (379 nucleotides) under uncultured eukaryote. RNAcentral describes it as "bacterial SSU rRNA". It matches the Rfam family "Eukaryotic small subunit ribosomal RNA", at positions 592 to 968 of the family's 1831-position model. The record is from RNAcentral.